AAGCAAAUGAUGAAAAAAUCAAUAUCUGAAUGAGAACAACAUUAACAAAGAAACCACUGAUGUGC
Small nucleolar RNA from Nyctereutes procyonoides (raccoon dog), 65 nucleotides. RefSeq annotates it as small nucleolar RNA SNORD42. The transcript has a single exon. The record is from RefSeq and is a predicted model, not a curated record. NCBI's taxonomy places the organism in Eukaryota, Metazoa, Chordata, Mammalia, Carnivora, Canidae.